GUGCUAAGGUAGCAUAAUCAUUUGUCUUUUAAAUGAAGACUAGAACAAACGAUUUAACAUUUCAAAAAAUUUCUUUAACUUUUUCAUAAAACUCUCUUAAAUGUAAAAAGACAUUUAUUAAAAAAAAAGACGACAAGACCCUAUUAAACUUAACUUAAGUUAAACUGGGGUAGUAAAUUAAUUAUUAUUUUAAUUUUUUUUAAAAAAAAAAAUAUCUUUUACCAUUAAAAAACCAAGUUACUAUAGGGAUAACAGCAUAAUUAUAUUUAAGAGAUCUCAUCUAAAAAAUAGAUUAUGACCUCGAUGUUGAAUUAAUAACCUAUAUUUAAGCAAUAUUACUAAAAGGAAGCCUGUUCGGCUUUUAAAAAAUUACAUGAUUUGAGUUCAAACCGGUGUAAGCCAGGUUGGUUUCUAUCUUUUACAAAAUUUUUUACAGUACGAAAGGACCUAUUAAUAUUAAUUAAUAAUAUAUUGGCAGAUCAAUGCAUUAGAAUUAGAAUCUAAAAAAACUACA
RNAcentral lists this ribosomal RNA (514 nucleotides) under Hypaeus aff. miles UBC SEM W.Maddison d130. RNAcentral describes it as "partial 16S ribosomal RNA". The stretch from base 124 to 420 matches the Rfam family "Bacterial large subunit ribosomal RNA", at positions 2074 to 2646 of the family's 2925-position model. Lineage: Eukaryota; Metazoa; Arthropoda; Arachnida; Araneae; Salticidae. The record is from RNAcentral.